AUGCGGAUAUGGGACUGAGACCA
This 23-nucleotide non-coding RNA is filed under the name Cricetulus griseus (Chinese hamster). RNAcentral also lists the same sequence under 1 other name. The record is from RNAcentral. Lineage: Eukaryota; Metazoa; Chordata; Mammalia; Rodentia; Cricetidae.